UACGAAGGGAGCUAGCGUUGUUCGGAAUUACUGGGCGUAAAGGGCGCGUAGGCGGCUUGGCAAGUCAGAUGUGAAAGCCCCGGGCUUAACCUGGGAACUGCGUUUGAGACUGCCUGGCUUGAAUUCGGGAGAGGUGAGUGGAAUUCCCAGUGUAGAGGUGGAAUUCGUAGAGAUCAGGAAGAAUACCAAUAGCGAAGGCAAGCUCCUGGCCGAUGACUGACGCUGAGGUGCGAAAGUGUGGGGAUCAAAC
This 250-nucleotide ribosomal RNA is filed under the name uncultured bacterium. Its description in RNAcentral is "partial 16S ribosomal RNA". It matches the Rfam family "Bacterial small subunit ribosomal RNA", at positions 524 to 773 of the family's 1533-position model. The record is from RNAcentral.